Molecule: ribosomal RNA, 517 nt
Filed under: Graphium agamemnon
Lineage: Eukaryota; Metazoa; Arthropoda; Insecta; Lepidoptera; Papilionidae
Description: partial 16S ribosomal RNA
Rfam family: Bacterial large subunit ribosomal RNA (bases 389-517)
Source: RNAcentral
UUUUUGAUUAUAAUUUAAAGUCUGGUCUGCCCAUGAAAUAAAUUAAAGGGCUGCAGUAUUUUGACUGUACAAAGGUAGCAUAAUCAUUAGUCUCUUAAUUGGUGACUUGUAUGAAAGAUUUGAUGAAAUAUAAACUGUCUCUUUAUAAUUUAUAAAAUUUAAUUUUUUAGUAAAAAAGCUAAAAUAAUUUUAAAAGACGAGAAGACCCUAUAGAGUUUUAUAAUUUGUUUAAUUUUUAAUUUUUUAUUAAUUUAUUUUUAUUAAAAAUUAAAUUAAUUAUUUUGUUGGGGUGAUAGAAAAAUUUAAUAAACUUUUUUUAAAAUAAAUAAACAUUUAUAAAUGAUAAUAUGAUCCGGUUUUAUCGAUUAAAAGAUUAAAUUACCUUAGGGAUAACAGCGUAAUUUUUUUUUUUAGUUCAAAUAAGAAGAAAAGUUUGCGACCUCGAUGUUGGAUUAAGAUAAAAUUUAAAUGCAAAAGUUUAAAAUUUUGAUCUGUUCGAUCAUUAAAAUCUUACAUG